UACGAGAGGCCCAAACGUUAUUCGGAAUUACUGGGCUUAAAGGGCUCGUAGGCGGCCAACUAAGUCCGACGUGAAAUCCCCAGGCUUAACCUGGGAACUGCGUCGGAUACUGGAUGGCUUGAAUCCGGGAGAGGGAUGCGGAAUUCCAGGUGUAGCGGUGAAAUGCGUAGAUAUCUGGAGGAACACCGGUGGCGAAGGCGGCAUCCUGGACCGGCAUUGACGCUGAGGAGCGAAAGCCAGGGGAGCAAACGGG
Molecule: ribosomal RNA, 253 nt
Filed under: uncultured bacterium
Lineage: Bacteria
Description: partial 16S ribosomal RNA
Rfam family: Bacterial small subunit ribosomal RNA
Source: RNAcentral